This 541-nucleotide ribosomal RNA is filed under the name Agaricomycotina sp. IP. RNAcentral's name for it is "LSU rRNA". It matches the Rfam family "Eukaryotic large subunit ribosomal RNA", at positions 90 to 611 of the family's 3401-position model. The record is from RNAcentral. Lineage: Eukaryota; Fungi; Basidiomycota.
CGAGCGAAGCGGGAAGAGCUCAAAUUUGUAAUCUGGCGUCUCUGGCGUCCGAGUUGUAAUCUAUAGAAACGUUUUCCGUGCCGGACCGCGUCCAAGUCCCUUGGAACAGGGUAUCAAAGAGGGUGACAAUCCCGUGCUUGAUGCGACCACCGGUGCCAUGUGAUACGUUUUCUACGAGUCGAGUUGUUUGGGAAUGCAGCUCUAAAUGGGUGGUAAAUUCCAUCUAAGGCUAAAUAUAGGCGAGAGACCGAUAGCGAACAAGUACCGUGAGGGAAAGAUGAAAAGCACUUUGGAAAGAGAGUUAAACAGUACGUGAAAUUGUUGAAAGGGAAACGAUUGAAGUCAGUCGUGUCUUGAGGUUUCAGCCUGCUCUGCAGGUGCAUUACCUCUUGACGGGUCAACAUCAGUUCUGGUCGGUGGAUAAGAGCGGAUUGAAGGUGGCACCCUCGGGUGUGUUAUAGCUUUCCGUUGCAUACGCUGGCUGGGACUGAGGACUGCAGCUCGCCCUUGUGGCCGCCCCUCGGGGACGUUCGAGCUUAGG